RNAcentral lists this unclassified non-coding RNA (264 nucleotides) under Hevea brasiliensis (rubber tree). Lineage: Eukaryota; Viridiplantae; Streptophyta; Magnoliopsida; Malpighiales; Euphorbiaceae. The record is from RNAcentral.
UUUGAGGGCAUGGAAAUAUGUGGCACAGGCAGUAAAGAGUACAUACAUAGAUAUAAGCUUUUCUUUUAUCUUUUUUUAACUAGAUAGGCAUACGGCUUUUCAGCAUACUGGAAGUUAAAAGUUUUGCUCAACAUUUUCAGUUGUCCGUAUUUAUGUAAUAUAUAAAAGCUGAAGCAAGAAAGCAAUACUGCUUAGGAAUAGUGGUCCUUUGUCCUUUUCUCCCCUUCCUUGUAAACUUUUUCCAUCUUUAUUCUUGAUGUGUUU